CAGUGACUUUGUGCGUGCGU
RNAcentral lists this non-coding RNA (20 nucleotides) under Rattus norvegicus (Norway rat). Lineage: Eukaryota; Metazoa; Chordata; Mammalia; Rodentia; Muridae. The record is from RNAcentral.